RNAcentral lists this RNase P RNA (366 nucleotides) under Tessaracoccus sp. SD287. RNAcentral describes it as "RNase P RNA component class A". It matches the Rfam family "Bacterial RNase P class A". Rfam says of the family: Ribonuclease P (RNase P) is a ubiquitous endoribonuclease, found in archaea, bacteria and eukarya as well as chloroplasts and mitochondria. Its best characterised activity is the generation of mature 5'-ends of tRNAs by cleaving the 5'-leader elements of precursor-tRNAs. The record is from RNAcentral. Lineage: Bacteria; Bacillati; Actinomycetota; Actinomycetes; Propionibacteriales; Propionibacteriaceae.
CGAGUCGGCCAGAUGAUCGCGGUCACCACCCCCCGGGUGGUGGCUGAGGAAAGUCCGGACUCCACAGGGCAGGAUGGUGGGUAACGCCCACCCGGGGUGACCCGCGGGACAGUGCCACAGAAAACAGACCGCCAACCACGGUUGGUAAGGGUGAAACGGUGGUGCAAGAGACCACCAGCACGCCAGGUGACUGGCGUGGCUCGGUAAACCCCAUCCGGAGCAAGACCGAACAGGACGUGUUUGAGGGCGGCCCGCCUGAGCGUCCGGGUAGGUCGCACCGUGCGUGCACGGAAGGCCGUUGGCAACAGCGGUCGCAGAUAGAUGAUCAUCCUUCGACAAAAUCCGGCUUAUCGGCCGACUCGUCCU